AAUAGAUACCCCGGUAGUCCAUGCCGUAAACGUUGGGCGCUAGAUGUGGGGGACCAUUCCACGGUUUCCGUGCCGCAGCUAACGCAUUAAGCGCCCCGCCUGGGGAGUACGGCCGCAAGGCUAAAACUCAAAGGAAUUGACGGGGGCCCGCACAAGCGGCGGAGCAUGCGGAUUAAUUCGAUGCAACGCGAAGAACCUUACCAAGGCUUGACAUAUACGAGAACGCUCUAGAAAUAGAGAACUCUUUGGACACUCGUAUACAGGUGGUGCAUGGUUGUCGUCAGCUCGUGUCGUGAGAUGUUGGGUUAAGUCCCGCAACGAGCGCAACCCUCGUUCUAUGUUGCCAGCGGUUCGGCCGGGAACUCAUAGGAGACUGCCGGGGUCAACUCGGAGGAAGGUGGGGAUGACGUCAAAUCAUCAUGCCCCUUAUGUCUUGGGCUUCACGCAUGCUACAAUGGCCGGUACAAAGGGCUGCAAUACCGUAAGGUGGAGCGAAUCCCAAAAAGCCGGUCUCAGUUCGGAUUGAGGU
RNAcentral lists this ribosomal RNA (529 nucleotides) under uncultured bacterium. RNAcentral describes it as "bacterial SSU rRNA". It matches the Rfam family "Bacterial small subunit ribosomal RNA", at positions 777 to 1304 of the family's 1533-position model. The record is from RNAcentral.